RNAcentral lists this ribosomal RNA (432 nucleotides) under uncultured bacterium. RNAcentral describes it as "partial 16S ribosomal RNA". It matches the Rfam family "Bacterial small subunit ribosomal RNA", at positions 29 to 506 of the family's 1533-position model. The record is from RNAcentral.
AACGAACGCUGGCGGCAUGCCUAACACAUGCAAGUCGAACGAGACCUUCGGGUCUAGUGGCGCACGGGUGCGUAACGCGUGGGAACCUGCCCUUAGGUUCGGAAUAACUCCCCGAAAGGGGUGCUAAUACCGGAUAAUGUCUUCGGACCAAAGAUUUAUCGCCUUUGGAUGGGCCCGCGUUGGAUUAGCUAGUUGGUAGGGUAAAAGCCUACCAAGGCGACGAUCCAUAGCUGGUCUGAGAGGAUGAUCAGCCACACUGGGACUGAGACACGGCCCAGACUCCUACGGGAGGCAGCAGUGGGGAAUAUUGGAAAAUGGGCGAAAGCCUGAUCCAGCAAUGCCGGGGGAGUGAUGAAGGCCUUAGGGUUGUAAAGCUUUUUUACCCGGGAUGAUAAUGACAGUACCGGGAAAAUAAGCCCCGGCAAACUCCGG